This 292-nucleotide ribosomal RNA is filed under the name uncultured bacterium. Its description in RNAcentral is "partial 16S ribosomal RNA". The record is from RNAcentral.
GGACUACAGGGGUAUCUAAUCCUGUUUGCUCCCCUUGCUCUCGCGCCUCAGCGUCUGGUAUAAGCUAGAAAACCGCUUUCGCCACAGGUGUUCUUCCACAUAUCUACGCAUUUCACCGCUACACGUGGAAUUCCGUUCUCUCCGCCAAUCCUCAAGGUAUAUAGUUUCAAAUGCAGCUCCGAAUUUGAGCCCCGGAAUUUCACAUCUGACUUUUAUUCCCGCCUACGCGCCCUUUACGCCCAAUAAUUCCGAUUAAUGCUUGCACCCUCCGUAUUACCGCGGCUGCUGGCAC